This 72-nucleotide transfer RNA is filed under the name Planctomycetota bacterium. RNAcentral describes it as "Planctomycetes bacterium tRNA-Lys". It matches the Rfam family "tRNA". From Rfam's summary of the family: Transfer RNA (tRNA) molecules are approximately 80 nucleotides in length. The record is from RNAcentral. Lineage: Bacteria; Pseudomonadati; Planctomycetota.
GGGAGCCUAGCUCAGCGGUAGAGCAGUGGCCUUUUAAGCCAUUGGUCCUGGGUUCGAAUCCCAGGGCUCCCA